This 600-nucleotide long non-coding RNA is filed under the name Trifolium pratense (red clover). Its description in RNAcentral is "long non-coding RNA (TPRA_LNC004413)". The record is from RNAcentral. Lineage: Eukaryota; Viridiplantae; Streptophyta; Magnoliopsida; Fabales; Fabaceae.
UUCUAACCUAUACAACAACAAAGUUUCGCCACAAUAAUAAACCAGUAUCUUUAUGACUUCAAAAUUACAACAUAAAUGACACUACACUUUGUUAACUCUUAACAUUGGGCUAUAUACUACAACCUCCUGCAACAGAAAAUAAAGAUGAAUUUAAAACUUUCAUGCUGUAAAAUAUCAAGACAUAACAUAUAUACAUACAAGAAUGAAUGUGCCGUUUUCUGCAUCAAAAUAUAUUACCUCCUCGUGUAUAAAUUCACAUUUAAACUAACACUAAAACCAGCGCAAACAACCAUCUACCUAACACCAACACGCCUGCGAACCUCUACACAGAUGUAAUGAAUUCCGGCUCCAAUUUGACAACAAGCCAACCACAGCUGAGCAAACGCAGCAAACACAAAUUACAACGAUCUACGAACUAAUCUAAUAAACAAUGACCACAACAUGAAAUGCUCUUCAGAUAGUUGUCUGUCAACCCUCUGUUCCAUGAAAGGACUAAACAUCUUAAAACAUAUCGUCAUUGUGUUCGAGACAAAGUUCAAGAAGGGAUAGUUAGACUUUGAGCAAGCAGCUAACUUCUUCUCAAUCCACUUCAUCCUAAGC